GAUGAACGCUGGCGGCGUGCCUAAUACAUGCAAGUCGAGCGAACAGACGAGAGUGCUUGCACUCUCUGACGUUAGCGGCGGACGGGUGAGUCACACGUGGGUAACCUACCUAUAAGACUGGGAUCACUUCGGGAAACCGGAGCUAAUACCGGAUAAUAUUUAGCUUCGCAUGAAGCAAUAGUGAAAGACGGUUCUGCUGUCACUUAUAGAUGGACCCGCGGUGUAUUAGCUAGUUGGUGAGGUAACGGCUCACCAAGGCAACGAUACAUAGCCGACCUGAGAGGGUGAUCGGCCACACUGGGACUGAGACACGGCCCAGACUCCUACGGGAGGCAGCAGUAGGGAAUCUUCCGCAAUGGACGAAAGUCUGACGGAGCAAUGCCGCGUGAGUGAAGAAGGUUUUCGGAUCGUAAAACUCUGUUGUAAGGGAAGAACAAGUACGUUAGUAACUGAACGUACCUUGACGGUACCUUACCAGAAAGCCACGGCUAACUACGUG
This 499-nucleotide ribosomal RNA is filed under the name uncultured bacterium. Its description in RNAcentral is "partial 16S ribosomal RNA". It matches the Rfam family "Bacterial small subunit ribosomal RNA", at positions 28 to 507 of the family's 1533-position model. The record is from RNAcentral.